RNAcentral lists this long non-coding RNA (1247 nucleotides) under Neodiprion lecontei (redheaded pine sawfly). Its description in RNAcentral is "uncharacterized LOC124293819". The record is from RNAcentral. Lineage: Eukaryota; Metazoa; Arthropoda; Insecta; Hymenoptera; Diprionidae.
UUAACAAGUGACUGUGCGUUGCAGUUGUUUUUGUCGGAAUCUUAAAGUAGGAUAAUAUUUUCUCUGUUUGAUGUGAAUUUUCCGUAAUUUUGAAAACGUAUUAAGGUGCGACGUGCAUUUGAAAGGAACCGAAAUAAAUUUAAUAUACUGUGUUGAAUAAAAAUCUUGAUCAUAUCUAUUUCCAGAGCGUGGAGCAGAUACAAUACUGGAAAUGAACCCCUAUUCACACGACGCAUUGGAGGAGUUCAACUGCCCGCGGCUAGAAAAUAUUUGGAGACUCAAUAGACGUGAUUAACGACGUACAAACAACAAACAUAUUCACGUAUUUUUGACCUCGCAGUCUGUAAGGUCAAGAAUCACCAGCCCUCUACCCUCUAACGGCAGGUUCCAAUCCUCUGUUUCCAGUUGUUCUGUAGGAAGGCAUGAUGCAACCAGCAUUCAAGCUGACAUGGAAUUGAUUCUUCCGUUAAUCCGUGGAGACCCAACGUUCGUGAAUGCUGACAACAAUCUGGAUUCAAGAAUUGCAGAAAUAUCCCGCCGGAGGUUGUGAGCGAGCGCGAGCGAGGGACAAAGGCAAUUUAUAAUGUGGUUAAGGUGAAUGCUCGUAACUGGUUCAGGAGUACCGUCGUAUCCUGAUGCUGCGUCAUGGAGUAAAAGUGUACGGACACCAACCUACGAGUAAACUCAUCGAGGGUAUUGGUUCUCACUGGUAUAAUGCCACGCGGGUUGCGACAUCUAUAAAACUGAUGAAUUCGACCCCAGUAACCGUUACCUGAAGGUCGUAUCCGAAUCUUGCCAGGUCUAAAUCCCUGUCGCCGUAUACCUGUAGUGUCGUCGUACAAGUCGUUAACGCUUGCACUUUCUACGCUGAAAGCAAAAGUGUAUUUUGAUGUCCAAUUAACCGGUCUACCAUCGAGAAAAUGAUUCUUCUCUUUUGACGAAACGAGCUAUUCGCAUCUUAAUUCGUGGAAUUCCAGAAGGUUUUGAAAAUAAAUUCGAUGACUAAAACUUUCUUGAACAUAUCCAAUUCGUGCAAGCGGUGUCGGAAGAUUCGUUCUUUGUCUCAAACUACUGCAGCAGUCGAGGAAUGGCGGUCAACCUGUAACUGAGUCAAGCGUGCUUAAAAUUACUCAUCAAAAGUCCUUGCAGCAAAUUUCUUGCCAGUGGCAUCAUUGAAUUCGUGUCACCAAGGACUUUUGUCACACAUUUCGAUGGAACGAUCAUUAGCGAUAGAUUUCUGUAAAGUC